GAAAUCCCCGGGCUCAACCUGGGAAUUGCAUUCAAAACUGACGAGCUAGAGUAUGGUAGAGGGUGGUGGAAUUUCCUGUGUAGCGGUGAAAUGCGUAGAUAUAGGAAGGAACACCAGUGGCGAAGGCGACCACCUGGACUGAUACUGACACUGAGGUGCGAAAGCGUGGGGAGCAAACAGGAUUAGAUACCCCGGUAGUCC
Molecule: ribosomal RNA, 201 nt
Filed under: Escherichia coli
Lineage: Bacteria; Pseudomonadati; Pseudomonadota; Gammaproteobacteria; Enterobacterales; Enterobacteriaceae
Description: partial 16S ribosomal RNA
Rfam family: Bacterial small subunit ribosomal RNA
Source: RNAcentral